GACGAACGCUGGCGGCGUGCUUAACACAUGCAAGUCGAACGGAAAGGCCCUGCUUGCGUGGGGUUCUCGAGUCGCAAGGGUGUGUGAAACAUGGGAGUAACCCGCCUUGGACUUGGGGAUAACUGGAGGAGACUGGGGAUAACACCGGAGAGCUGCGCGUGCUGCAUGGUGGUGGUUGGAAAGUUUGGGCGGAUGGGGAUGGACGCGGGGUUUAUCAGCUUGUUGGGGGGGUAGUGGCAUACCAAGGCUUUGGCGGGUAGGCCGCCUGGGAGGGUAAACGGCCACAUGGGGACUGCGAGACGGAGCAGACUGGUACGUGAGGCAGUGGUGGAGAACAUUGCACAAUGGGCGGACGCCUGAUGCAGCGACGCCGGGUGCGUGAUGCCGGCCUUGUGGUUGUAAACCGCAGUCGCCUGUGACGAAGCGGUAGUGACGGUAAUGGGAGAAGAAGCACCGGCUAACUACGUG
RNAcentral lists this ribosomal RNA (468 nucleotides) under uncultured bacterium. Its description in RNAcentral is "partial 16S ribosomal RNA". It matches the Rfam family "Bacterial small subunit ribosomal RNA", at positions 28 to 507 of the family's 1533-position model. The record is from RNAcentral.